Molecule: non-coding RNA, 145 nt
Organism: Camellia sinensis
Lineage: Eukaryota; Viridiplantae; Streptophyta; Magnoliopsida; Ericales; Theaceae
Source: RefSeq, a predicted model, not a curated record
GGUCUUCUACUCCACUUGUCUCCCCCUGAAGAGAAGUGUUGGGGAAAUAGGAUUUUGUUUCCACAAAUGAUACAUCCAUACUCACAUGAAAUUUCUUGGUUUGAGAAUCGAAACACUUAUACCCCUUUUUAUUUGAGGAAUAACC